RNAcentral lists this unclassified non-coding RNA (179 nucleotides) under uncultured fungus. RNAcentral's name for it is "sequence contains ITS1, 5.8S rRNA gene". Lineage: Eukaryota; Fungi. The record is from RNAcentral.
CUGAGAUAGGGUCCCUUGGGGCCCGACCUCCAACCCUUUGUCUACCUUACCACUGUUGCCUCGGCGGGUCGUCGGCGCCCUCGCGGGCGUCGCCGUUGGCCUCUGUGCUCUCGAGUGCCCGCCGCCAGGCCCCACAAACCCUUUGUGAAUCAGCCCUCUGAGAGUAUAUUCAAUACUUA